Molecule: transfer RNA, 65 nt
Filed under: Dolycoris baccarum (sloe bug)
Lineage: Eukaryota; Metazoa; Arthropoda; Insecta; Hemiptera; Pentatomidae
Also listed under: 1 other name
Description: tRNA-Ala
Source: RNAcentral
GGGGUUGUAGUUAAAAUAUAACAGUUAAUUUGCAAUUAACAAUUACUUAUUAUUAGUCCUCCUCA